UACAGAGGUCCCAAGCGUUGUUCGGAUUCACUGGGCGUAAAGGGUGCGUAGGCGGUCGGGUAAGUCUGACGUGAAAUCUUCAAGCUCAACUUGGAAACUGCGUCCGAUACUAUUCGGCUAGAGGAAUGGAGGGGAGACUGAAAUACUUGGUGUAGCAGUGAAAUGCGUAGAUAUCAAGUGGAACACCAGUGGCGAAGGCGAGUCUCUGGACAUUUCCUGACGCUGAGGCACGAAAGCCAGGGGAGCAAACGGG
This 253-nucleotide ribosomal RNA is filed under the name uncultured bacterium. RNAcentral describes it as "partial 16S ribosomal RNA". It matches the Rfam family "Bacterial small subunit ribosomal RNA", at positions 524 to 776 of the family's 1533-position model. The record is from RNAcentral.